UCGUUUGAGCAAUGGAGGGACGCAGAAGGAUAGAAGAAGCGUGCGAUUGGUUGUGCACGUCCAAGCAGUUAGGCUGAUAAGUAGGCAAAUCCGCUUAUCAUAAAGGCUGAGCUGUGAUGGGGAAGCUCCUUAUGGAGCGAAGUCUUUGAUUCCCCGCUGCCAAGAAAAGCUUCUAGCGAGAUAAAAGGUGCCUGUACCGCA
This 201-nucleotide ribosomal RNA is filed under the name Bacillus thuringiensis. RNAcentral's name for it is "partial 23S ribosomal RNA". It matches the Rfam family "Bacterial large subunit ribosomal RNA", at positions 1454 to 1651 of the family's 2925-position model. Lineage: Bacteria; Bacillati; Bacillota; Bacilli; Caryophanales; Bacillaceae. The record is from RNAcentral.